GUCGAGUUGGCUUAGGGAUACGUUCGUUGGGUAGGGGAGCGUUCUGUAAGCCGUUGAAGGUGUGUCGUGAGGCAUGCUGGAGGUAUCAGAAGUGCGAAUGCUGACAUAAGUAACGAUAAAGCGGGUGAAAAGCCCGCUCGCCGGAAGACCAAGGGUUCCUGUCCAACGUUAAUCGGGGCAGGGUGAGUCGACCCCUAAGGCGAGGCCGAAAGGCGUAGUCGAUGGGAAACGGGUUAAUAUUCCCGUACUUGGUGUUACUGCGAAGGGGGGACGGAGAAGGCUAUGUUGGCCGGGCGACGGUUGUCCCGGUUUAAGCGUGUAGGCUGACUUUCCAGGCAAAUCCGGAGAGUCAAGGCUGAGGCGUGACGACGAGGCACCACGGUGCUGAAGCAACAAAUGCCCUGCUUCCAGGAAAAGCCUCUAAGCCUCAGGUAACAUCAAAUCGUACCCCAAACCGACACAGGUGGUCAGGUAGAGAAUACCAAGGCGCUUGAGAGAACUCGGGUGAAGGAACUAGGCAAAAUGGUGCCGUAACUUCGGGAGAAGGCACGCUGACACGUAGGUGAAGUGAUUUACUC
RNAcentral lists this ribosomal RNA (578 nucleotides) under Salmonella enterica. RNAcentral describes it as "partial 23S ribosomal RNA". It matches the Rfam family "Bacterial large subunit ribosomal RNA", at positions 1196 to 1772 of the family's 2925-position model. Lineage: Bacteria; Pseudomonadati; Pseudomonadota; Gammaproteobacteria; Enterobacterales; Enterobacteriaceae. The record is from RNAcentral.